RNAcentral lists this ribosomal RNA (333 nucleotides) under uncultured bacterium. RNAcentral's name for it is "bacterial SSU rRNA". It matches the Rfam family "Bacterial small subunit ribosomal RNA", at positions 568 to 899 of the family's 1533-position model. The record is from RNAcentral.
CGUGCAGGCGGUCGGGUAAGUCAGAUGUGAAAGCCUUCUGCUUAACAGAAGAAGUGCAUUUGAAACUGCUCGGCUAGAGUACGGGAGAGGAGAGUGGAAUUCCCGGUGUAGAGGUGAAAUUCGUAGAUAUCGGGAGGAACACCAGUGGCGAAGGCGGCUCUCUGGUCCGAUACUGACGCUGAGACGCGAAAGCGUGGGAGCAAACAGGAUUAGAUACCCUGGUAGCCCACGCCGUAAACGAUGGGCACUAGGUGUAGGAGGUAUUGACCCCUUCUGUGCCGAAGCUAACGCAUUAAGUGCCCCGCCUGGGGAGUACGGCCGCAAAGGACUAAA